This 148-nucleotide ribosomal RNA is filed under the name uncultured bacterium. Its description in RNAcentral is "partial 16S ribosomal RNA". It matches the Rfam family "Bacterial small subunit ribosomal RNA", at positions 355 to 499 of the family's 1533-position model. The record is from RNAcentral.
UGAGGAAUAUUGGUCAAUGGGCGAGAGCCUGAACCAGCCAAAUCGCGUGAAGGAAGACAGCCCUACGGGUUUUAAACUUCUUUUGUAGGGGAAUAAAAAAGAGUACGCGUAGUCUAUUGCAUGUACACCUGCGAAUAAGCAUCGUGCA